Molecule: ribosomal RNA, 1032 nt
Filed under: uncultured archaeon
Lineage: Archaea
Description: bacterial SSU rRNA
Rfam family: Archaeal small subunit ribosomal RNA
Source: RNAcentral
CCUACGGGGUGCAGCAGGCGAGAAAACUUUGCAAUGUGCGAAAGCACGACAAGGUUAAUCCGAGUGAUUUCUGCUAAAGAAAUCUUUUGCAAGUCAUAAAACCACUAGUGAAUAAGGGGUGGGCAAGUUCUGGUGUCAGCCGCCGCGGUAAAACCAGCACCUCAAGUGGUCAGGAGGAUUAUUGGGCCUAAAGCAUCCGUAGCCGGCUCUGUAAGUUUUCGGUUAAAUCCAUGUGCUCAACGCAUGGGCUGCCGAAAAUACUGCAUAGCUAGGGAGUGGGAGAGGUAGACGGUACUCGGUAGGAAGGGGUAAAAUCCUUUGAUCUAUCGAUGACCACCUGUGGCGAAGGCGGUCUACCAGAACACGUUCGACGGUGAGGGAUGAAAGCUGGGGGAGCAAACCGGAUUAGAUACCCGGGUAGUCCCAGCUGUAAACGAUGCAGACUCGAUGAUGCAUUGGCAUAUAGCCAGUGCAGUGUCGCAGGGAAGCCGUUAAGUCUGCCGCCUGGGAAGUACGUACGCAAGUAUGAAACUUAAAGGAAUUGGCGGGGGAGCACCACAAGGGGUGAAGCCUGCGGUUCAAUUGGAGUCAACGCCAGAAAUCUUACCCGGAGAGACAGCAGAAUGAAGGUCAAGCUGAAGACUUUACCAGACAAGCUGAGAGGUGGUGCAUGGCCGUCGCCAGCUCGUGCCGUGAGAUGUCCUGUUAAGUCAGGUAACGAGCGAGAUCCUCGCCACUAGUUGCUAUCAUUAUUCUCAGGAAUAGUGGGGCGAAUUAGUGGGACUGCCGUUGUUAAAACGGAGGAAGGAGGGGGCUACGGCAGGUCAGUAUGCCCCGAAACUCUGGGGCCACACGCGGGCUGCAAUGGUAGCGACAAUGAGCUCCAAACUCGAAAGAGAGUGGCAAUCUCUAAACGCUACCACAGUUAUGACUGAGGGCUGUAACUCGCCCUCACGAAUAUGGAAUCCCUAGUAACCGCGUGUCAUUACCGCGCGGUGAAUACGUCCCUGCUCCUUGCACACACCGCCCGUC